AUUUCGCGACGUAUCCUCCGGAGCCCCAGCACUCUUCUCUCUAUUGGGAUUAGGGGUUUAGGAAGGACAGGGCGCUGCGGUGGUCUAGGGGGUGUUAGGGGUGGUAUUAGCCUUCGGGGCAGCACUACCCGCUGCGGCGGUUGCGGAGGGCAGCCGCAGCCGACCGGAGUUAAGAGGAAAGGGCCUUUGGCGCGGAGUGGCUGUCGUCCUUGCUCUGGUGCCGGUGUCGGCUUAGGUUCCUACCGAAGUGGUACCGCCAGAGGAAGACCUACCGGCUGGGUGGUGUUAACAGGUAGAAGAGGUAGGUGACGACGUCUGGGGGAGUAAAAGUUCUGCCCGGCAUGACGUUAAAGUUUCUAAACGGUGUGCACCAGCCGCAGCCGCGCCGCCCGGCAAAGCAAGAGUAGGCGCGGCAGAAGCUGGCGGCGCGGUGUAGGCUUAUAAAGGAAAUGUUCCGGCCACUCAGUGGUAACGAGCUGGGCUAAGAAGGAGGGAUGCUAAUAGCACUACCGCUGGCGCUACUAGACGCCCCCCAGUCCCUCAAGCCGCAGGACGUCGAGCCGUCGGUCAUAGAGCACCGGCGAGAGACGGAGCUGGGCAACAGCCUACUGAUAAUGGAAGCCUAGAUGAGCAGGCUCUCUUUUAGUACCUCGUGGUCCUGGGACGGGUUAGGUACAGGACCCCAGCUGUCCUAAUACGGGCUGUUCCACUAGUGAGAACCUCUUCUUCCGGAUGAUCCCACCCAACUAAACAGUGUCCCGGACGACUACACGCUGGACGCAGUUCUAGUCUCUCUUCGUUUUUUGAUCUCCCGCUUAGAGUGGGUUUAGAGACCACCAAAGCCCUAGAGAGUACCCAACUACCGCACGAGUUCAAAUAACUCUACCUCUUAGAACAAGGACUUUCGGCCUCGCUGUUCCCACUACAAUAGAUGCUAAGUCUGAACUAGUACAGCGAGCUCGCGUUUCGGCACCUAACCGUAACGUUCGUCGGCAGGAAACCCCCACGGACCUCCCGACAGUGUACCUGAGCCUGUCAAAGCAGGUUGACAACCGCGGUCUGUACGCGACAGUUACAGCGACUGUAGAACCAACAACUGCCUAGUCGCGUAAGUAGAAACAACGGGCCCGAUUUCCCUCUUUUCAACUGUAAGUACCUGGAGAUGAGUCGAAAGGGGUAGGACUCGGGCCUACCACUGCUAUAAGAAAUAGAGUUUAGAUACCACCUUGGGUCAUUGUUCCUACCUACACACCGGCGACAACUGAAUGCUUUGUUCCGACACUUUCGUCAACCGUUCAUAAUAGAAGGCCUACUAAAAAUAAUGGUGAAAGCGAUACUGGGACUUGUAGGAAAGGCACAGACACGUAACAGGGCGGUAGACCUAUACUGAGGUCCGUAACUUCAGUGUCGCACAGCGUUCUAGUGUCCCCUACGAUCGUCGAGAAGUUUAAAAGGUUCUUUGUGGAGUACUCGAGUUAAGGACGCUUGGUUCCUCGUUUUAGGUUUCCGGUAACCUUAACCGAGUCUUUUUGUUCGCACGUGCUUUACGACGACCCUAAUAAUACGUCUUACUAGUAUAAAGGUUCGAACUGCUAUUCCACGACCUCGAUCUCGCCCUCGAUCUCGUCUUCUUUCUCGUCUUCGGUGUUGUCGUCACGAAGUUUUUCACCCUACGCCGUUCGAUAGGGGGACCCGUAAGUAACACCGGGGUUUUGUUAGACGGUCACGCCGUUAUGAAGUCGUUCGGUGGUGGUAGCAAGCGGGGAGAUGUACCAGCAGUGUUGAUGGUCCGUGACACCGUCGUCGGUGGUGGUAGUUUUGUCGUCAAGUGAAUAUUGUCACUCAAACUUGGAGUACUCCGUGGGGACGGUAGGAAGUUGUUAACGUCACCUCGGCCGAUGGUAACCAUAAGUGUCGUUAAAAGACGGGGAUUGAGUAAACUGAUACCGCGUGUGUGUCCGAUACCGUUGAUGGUUGUGGUCACCCUCGUCGAAGGGUCAUGAGACCUCGACGGAUAACGUAGAACCGUCGUAGGUGGAGGAGGCAACGUAACACUAGGUUGUGGAUCACUCCCCUGUAGAAGGAAUGAUGGCAACCCUCUACGUACUACAGAGAAAGGUUAUCAGUUCCGUUCCACUUCUUCAAAGUACUGGACCGAUCGUAGAUGUCGUCUAGAAUUGUCAUCGGUUCGACGACUAGCUUCUUCUCCGGACUACUGCUGCGGUGACCUCGGCAAUUAUAUAUACAUAAAUACAUCAUAAACAGAGGGAGGCAGGCAUUUUCUAACAGGGACAUCCUACCAGAGGGAGGCAAGAUGUUUCUACUCGUUCUGGUAGGAUGGAAGGUCACACCACACACAUGCCCGAAUUAUGACCUGACGGAAUAAUAUCAUUGGAUGGAUCGACAACUUAACCUAGCCACUACAAAUAGAAGUUCAAAUCCGUAGCGAUAGACCGCUGCGAGUCCG
RNAcentral lists this ribosomal RNA (2467 nucleotides) under Triticum aestivum (bread wheat). RNAcentral's name for it is "partial small subunit ribosomal RNA". Lineage: Eukaryota; Viridiplantae; Streptophyta; Magnoliopsida; Poales; Poaceae. The record is from RNAcentral.